Folsomia candida is the source of this 604-nucleotide long non-coding RNA. RefSeq lists it as uncharacterized. The record is from RefSeq and is a predicted model, not a curated record. The transcript is spliced from 2 exons. Lineage: Eukaryota; Metazoa; Arthropoda; Collembola; Entomobryomorpha; Isotomidae.
CUUUCUUAAAUUUGUGAAAUAAUUGGUUCCAAAAAUUGCAAAUUGUAGGAAAUGAAUUAUUUGAUAACAAAUGUAUUUUUUAAUUGGCAUACAAUUUGUGCACAGCUCUUUUUAGUUUUGAGUGACAAUAAUGAAAACCGGAAUCACUUCACACCUUUACAAUUUUGAUUUGGAUAAGAUUCUCAGCGUUUGUAGAGCUGAUUUGUAUGAGUCCAACGGUCCAAGUCCGGUGUUUCUACUCCACCCCCUCGCCGAGUGGGAGGAGCUCAAAGUUGGAAAAACAGGGGUUUUCUGCGAUUUUUAGCUUAAAGACAUAAAUUACCCGGUUGAAAGACAUGGAGCAGUUGCUGAUAGGCUAGAAAUGCCAGGAAAUAGCAAAUUGUGUGAGCCCAUGUCUGUAGUACACAAUGCAGUUUAAAUUUUGAUAAAAAAAUAGCUGGGUAGAGUUUCAGAGUAAAAGUUAUAACAUUUGUCAAAAUUUCGCUAAUUUUUCCAAAGUACCUCCAUUACACGAAAUUAAACAUUUGUAGUCCAAAAUCUGUUUGCAUUAUCAUCAGUAAUGUCUCCUCUAACUGCCAAAAUAAUAAACAUGAAAACAUUUCAA